Molecule: long non-coding RNA, 217 nt
Filed under: Capsicum annuum
Lineage: Eukaryota; Viridiplantae; Streptophyta; Magnoliopsida; Solanales; Solanaceae
Description: long non-coding RNA (CANN_LNC001852)
Source: RNAcentral
AAAUUUUUCCCUUGAACCUCGGCAGACCAUUAUGUAUGGCAAUAUUGUUCAUAAUAGUAGGAUCCACAUGGGUUUGGGCUAGUAAUUGAGCAACUUCCUGGUCACCUUCAUAGCUGCUCAAGAUCUCCUCCAUCCACUUAGGUUGCACUUGACUCAAAGUAUUGCAUUCAGCUUCAGUGUAAGCUUUGGACAGUGCAUCAGCAACAGUAUUCUUUAC